RNAcentral lists this ribosomal RNA (498 nucleotides) under uncultured bacterium. RNAcentral describes it as "partial 16S ribosomal RNA". It matches the Rfam family "Bacterial small subunit ribosomal RNA", at positions 30 to 523 of the family's 1533-position model. The record is from RNAcentral.
ACUGAACGCUGGCGGCAUGCCUUACACAUGCAAGUCGAACGGCAGCACGGGGCAACCUGGUGGCGAGUGGCGGACGGGUGAGUAAUGCAUCGGAACGUACCUUUCAGUGGGGGAUAACGUAGCGAAAGUUACGCUAAUACCGCAUAUUCUGUGAGCAGGAAAGCAGGGGAUCGCAAGACCUUGCGCUGAUUGAGCGGCCGAUGUCAGAUUAGCUAGUUGGUGAGGUAAAGGCUCACCAAGGCGACGGUCUGUAGCGGGUCUGAGAGGAUGAUCCGCCGCACUGGAACUGAGACGCGGUCCAGACUCCUACGGGAGGCAGCAGUGGGGAAUUUUGGACAAUGGGGGCAACCCUGAUCCAGCCAUGCCGCGUGAGUGAAGAAGGCCUUCGGGUUGUAAAGCUCUUUCGGCCGGGAAGAAAUCGCACGGGCUAAUACCCUGUGUGGAUGACGGUACCGGAAUAAGAAGCACCGGCUAACUACGUGCCAGCCGCCGCCGUAA